Molecule: ribosomal RNA, 169 nt
Filed under: uncultured Oribacterium sp.
Lineage: Bacteria; Bacillati; Bacillota; Clostridia; Lachnospirales; Lachnospiraceae
Description: partial 16S ribosomal RNA
Rfam family: Bacterial small subunit ribosomal RNA
Source: RNAcentral
CCUACGGGAGGCAGCAGUGGGGAAUAUUGCACAAUGGGGGAAACCCUGAUGCAGCGACGCCGCGUGAGUGAAGAAGUAUUUCGGUAUGUAAAGCUCUAUCAGCAGGGAAGAUAAUGACAGUACCUGACUAAGAAGCCCCGGCUAACUACGUGCCAGCAGCCGCGGUAAU